AAAGAUUCUCUCCUGAAAAUGUAGCCAGGUUUAAUAGCCAGGACAGGCAGGAUUAAAAGCCAAGUCUCCUAAGUCACACUUUGCUUCCCCAUCACUUACACCUGGAUGAAAUGUUGAGUUCCUUUAUGGAUGCUUUCAUUCCACUCUGCUCAGUCCUGAAUGCACAAAUCCAAAAUGUUCCUAAACCUCUGUUGUCAGAACUAGGUUUUGGAGGUACUGCAAAGAGAAGCGAGAGGCCAGAACAGGUGACAUGCUUAAUGUGCCAGAUCACAUGGGAAUAGCACAUGAUGCACCCUGUGUGUCACAGGGCACUGGAAAGGCUGAGUGGCUGCUCUAUUUCACAGCCAGCAGUGAAAGCAUCCUUUCCAAGAAUGUUUGCAUGUUGGGAGCUUCUUGAUAGCUGUUCUGAAAAGCUGAUGAGGCAAGCGACAGUGCGUUAUUUUUCUCGGCCCCAGUCAGCUCUUGAGUGCCCAGCUUGGGCACCUCGGCUUCUCUUCGGGGCCAGCGCUUGUCGCUAUUUCCAGGCGCUUCUGCUGCCGCGCUCCGGGGCGGGCUGGCCGCGCUUUGCCAUUGGCGCAAGGGAGGAAACAAAGGUAGGGAAAACGUCCAAAUCCGUCCGCGUGGCGGCUGGAUGCUUUAAU
Vidua macroura (Pin-tailed whydah) is the source of this 641-nucleotide long non-coding RNA. RefSeq lists it as uncharacterized. The record is from RefSeq and is a predicted model, not a curated record. The transcript is spliced from 3 exons. NCBI's taxonomy places the organism in Eukaryota, Metazoa, Chordata, Aves, Passeriformes, Viduidae.